CUGGACUGUUCAUGGGUAAGGAGAUAAUGUGUGCUGGGAGUUGAAAGCUGUACUACUGAUGGCAGGUAUGGGGGAACAAUUUGAGAAUCAACAGUGAAUGAGGAAGAUAAACGUCUGCUCUAAGAAGUAGACAAGUGGACAUGCACAUUCCCAGCUGGAGGAAACCAUCAAGAAGUGCAGGGUUGACCCUGCCGGACAAGUAGAAGACUGUGAAGAUUAGCCCUCAGCUAGCAUCUGCUGGAAAUCCUCUUUUCACUGAGGAAGACUGGCCCUGAGCUAACAUCCAUGCCCAUCUUCCUCUACUUUAUACGUGGGACACCUACCACAGCAUGGUUUGCCACGCAGUGCCAUAUCCCCACCCAGGAUCUGAACUGGUGAACCCCGGGGCGCCGAAGCAGAAUGUGCUCACUUAACCGCUGUGCCACUGGGCCGACCUGUCAAUUUCUUAUCUAUCUAUUUGGUUCCAUUGGCCAACCUUUCGCCUGUGCUACUUUCUCCUGAUUACUGCAGCUUUAGAGUGGCUGUGAAAAUCAAGUCAUAAGGGUCCUCCAACAUCUUCUCCUUGUAAAAAAUUAUUUUGGCUAUGCAAGUUCCAUU
RNAcentral lists this long non-coding RNA (597 nucleotides) under Equus caballus (horse). RNAcentral's name for it is "lncRNA (ENSECAG00000057845.1)". Lineage: Eukaryota; Metazoa; Chordata; Mammalia; Perissodactyla; Equidae. The record is from RNAcentral.